ACAUCAUUUCGGUGUCUUUUAAAGCUGACUAUGCGGUAUGGUUCUGCUCAUUGUUGAAGGCCGUACGGUGACCUAUAGUUGUUAAUUUCUGUGUCAUUUUGGUCUCUUGCGGAGCGUUUUCUCAUUGGCAAUCAUACCAAAUCUUCUUUUUUAUAUGUUAGCGAAUUUGUGGAUUGUUGUUACAUCAUUUUCUCGGUAUUUUAGUAUUGCCAUUUUUGACUAUUUUUUUUGUUGCUGCCAAAAAUGAAACAUCUGCUAAUACCAUUAUAUAAAUAACAACAAUAAAACUAUGCUACCUCAGCUUUUUUUUUUUUUUGGCAAAAAUUAAUUACAUCUGAUUGUUGAACUUCCGGAACCCUUAUUUGAAAAAAACGUAAAAUUGUGAAAUUCACACUUAGGAAAAACAUUGUUCCCAACUCAGGGUUUCCAACACUUAAGAUGCGCAAUUAGCAAUAAACUGUAACAAAUAAUCGAGUUCACAAACUACACGAUGCCAUUUGCGGUUCGGGUCUGUGUCUGUGUCUGUCGUGGUUUUCAACGGCAUGCUUUGGGACUGACAGAUUAUUUUGUCGUUCGACGGCCUGUAUUUUAAACUUGCGGUGAAAUAAUAAGUAAAGAAAAUGGAAUGUUUGGGUUAAACCAAGUAUUAUCAUGGUGCAAUAAACUUAUUUAAAGUUACUUUAGUUUGCAAUAAUAUCAUUUCAAAAUAUGAGAACUUGUCAUUAAAAUUUUAAAAGACGCACAUGAAGCGUUACUGUAUGAUCCUGUAUGUUUGAAUGGUAAAGUAAAACAUAAAACUUUAAUAUUCGAACUUGGAAUAUAUCCAGUAGCAGUCUUUUUUUAAGAAAUUAUGCAUUGUUUGUAUCAAAUAUUUCAAGUAAUUGAAAACGAAUAAUUUUGUUUGUUCUUAAACCCUUC
This 918-nucleotide long non-coding RNA is filed under the name Mytilus galloprovincialis (Mediterranean mussel). The record is from RNAcentral. Lineage: Eukaryota; Metazoa; Mollusca; Bivalvia; Mytilida; Mytilidae.